Long non-coding RNA from Cygnus olor (mute swan), 4139 nucleotides. RefSeq lists it as uncharacterized. NCBI's taxonomy places the organism in Eukaryota, Metazoa, Chordata, Aves, Anseriformes, Anatidae. The record is from RefSeq and is a predicted model, not a curated record. The transcript has 3 exons.
CUUGGCUGAUUCUUCGUUUACAAUGUUUUAGGAGUUGAUGUGGUUGUGUCAGAAAUAUGAAACAGUGAGAAGAACUAACUCUGCAAGACUGACAGUGAUCCCAGAAAAUGGCCAAUGUGUUAUUUCAUCAUCAAUUCACCGAAAGGCCAGGGCCAGUGUGGUUUUUAAGUGGAUAAAAGAACUAUAUGCUUCAUAACUGACAACAGCAACAUUUGAAGCUGCCUGGAACUGGUGCUGCUCCCAGAGGUUUUGAGGGGUAAGUUAAGUUUAUACGUAUUUAUAUAACAAAUGAGUGAGUCACAUUUUUCAAAGGGGCCUCAGUGUAGUGCAAAGUCCUAAUCCUGCAAAGAUUUACGUUCACUGAAAUUUGUGGGAUUAUUCAAGUGUUUAAAGCCCUGUCCUCUGAGAAUUUAUUUCACCCUUAUGUUCAUAGUGUUUAAAAAAAUGCUCAGGGCAAGAUCCUCAGCUAACAUGACUCUUUUAUUGGAGCUCUGUUGAUUUUAAACAACUGUGGAUAUGGUCUGUGAGUUAACACAAUAGGAAAAUAAAUAUUUUCAUAUUUUGUAAGUGACUAGGGCUAAAAUUUCCUGCCAAUUUUGGCAGAUAGUUGAAAAAGAAAGUGAAACUGAAUAGUCAAGUCAAAUUUCUACCAUUGUAAUUGCCUGGGAAUUUGCUAGUAUUUUUCAAACAGAGAUUUUUCAAGCAGGCAAUUACAUCACGCUAAAUAAGGGAAGUAAAUCUUUGUAUGCCUGUUUGGGGGGAGGAGGGGGCAGGGAGGAGAGAGAGGUGACAGUGUGCACAUUAGAGGAAGAGAGGUUUUCUGUAGCACUUUAGAGGCUGAUCCUUUCCUCUUCCUCACUCCCGAGAUUGAAGAAUGACCUUCAUUUCCUCAAGGGUCGGUGGUAUCCCAGCCUGGAGAACCCUCUCCCUGUGCAUUAACCACAUGCCUGCCUUUCAGCCCUCCAGAACAGAAAGUCUGAUUUAAGUCUUGGAUUGAUGCCCUCGUCCAGACUCUGCUGGGCUGCAGAAGAGAUAAGUGCCCUCAGCUGCUCCCGGCCAUCCCGCAGGUUUCCCAGUGGAGCAGUCUGCAUGAGCACUUCCUAAUCUGCUCCAGGCAAAAUCAUCCAAGUUAGCUCAAAGAAUUUAAAUUGUUUGUCUGAGGUAUCCUGGCUGGGUCUUUUGCCUGAAGCAAAUGAAGGAGCACUUACACAGCCUGUACCUGGUCGGUCCAUACGGGGGUAAUCUGUUCUCCUGGCACAGCCAGAGACAGCCCCUGUCCGUGGCUUUUAGGCUGUCUGGGCAGAGAGGCAGCAGACCCUGGUAGAGCUGACAUGGCUUAAUGUGAGACAUGCAGGGUCUGCUGUCAGUGUAGUUUAAACUCUGUUCCCAAGGGGCAUUGGUUGUACUGGCAUAAAAGCUUUUUCAGAUACUACUCUUAUCAAUAUUAUUUUCAUUCUCUUCACCAAGGAAAACUUUCCAGCAGAUCAAAGACCAAAUCUGAGUUUCUUCCAUUUCUCUUAAAAAUAUUUUAAGACUACUUGUAGAUGCAGCAUUAGGAGAAGUUCCUUAAAUUGAGGGACAAGUACAUUUUCACUGUGUAGUUAAAGAGAUGAUGCUUAAAAGGCAAAAAGAGGCAAAAAGCCUCAUCGCUUCCCUGGUGUUUCAUCCCAAUGUUGCAGCUUCACCCCUUUCUGCAACAAAGAACAAGUUGAGGAAUUCUCACCUUUUUUUCCACAGCUCAUGUAAACAGCCUCACUCCGUGCUUCUCUUUUUGCGUACCUUAUCUGUCCAUUUCCACCCCCACCUCCACUCCCCUUUGGGGCUGCACUGUCAAAAGCCUAUUCCCAGCCUGUAUCGCUUUUUAUUGAAUGUUUGUGAGGUUUGGAUUAAGGUCUUACACUGCUAGCAAAGCUGUAAUUAUUUUUGCCUGUAUUACUAUAUAUUGAAUCGAUGUAACUUUUCAAUAAAGGUGGUUCAAUGCAGGACACUCCCUGAUGAGUUGGGAAUAUAGAAACCACAGUCAUUAUCCCAGAGGGUUGUUUUUUCUUUCUUGGAGGGAAAUGGAAAAAGAAUUAGAGAUGAGCCUUAUUGUAUUAACCUUGACAGCUUGCAAUUAUCAACUGAAACACUUGAUUAAAAUUGUCACAAGGUUGGAGAAUUUUUUUAUAAAUAAAUAAUCAAACAUGGAUAGUACCCAGAUGCUAUGGUGAUAGGCACCUUUAAUGGGUGUAAUUAAUAAUGAUCAUAAGCCUAGUGUAUACGAGUGGCUCCUGAAAAUGCUGUCUUCCUUUGUCGUGGAAAGAACUCAGCAUGCAAUUCACACAGGCAUUUGGGAAGAACUGGAAAGGGGCUCGGUGCUGUGUUAACGUACGCACCUACACGUGUGCACACCCUGAUCUAGCUCUUUGGACGUCUGCUGCUUUGUUGGGGCCUACAUUAUGCCCUGUUUUACAGGCUGUGCUUUUUAGGUGGGUGUUGAGCAUUUUCAGUCAUUGUGUGUUGCCCUCUCAUUUGGGUGUUUGACUCAGGUUUCCUCUCUUGCCACUAAGCUCCCAGCAAACCCAAAUCUUGUGGUUCUGCAGCUCACUGACGAGGUGAACGAAGCGCUGCAGUGCUGCUGUGAUGAGCAUCUUAAACGGCUGUUCCUGUCCUGCAAUGCCAGAAACAUCUCUGUGCAUGAGCUGUCCUGUACAUAAAGGUAGGUUUGUACAUGGCAAGCCACCGAGCUGCUGGUACUAGAGCUAGCAGUCGUGUCAUUCAUUUUGAGCUCAUAAAAGAUGCAGCUGCUAGGUGCAGGCUUCACCUUACUGAGAUCUUUGACUCCCAUCGUGGCUACAACCAGAAUAUGUGUAGUUUCACUUAUAAUAUUAAGGCCAGGGAGAAGUUUGUAAAACAAUGCACCGUUUUACGAUGGAGUAAUCAGCUGAAAAGGCUAGAGAAAAGAAAAGACUUCCAGAGGAAAACAGCUGACUCACUUAAGCAGAAAACAUCAGUGGCUUGGAUGAUGGGCACCACCAUCCUUUACAGCAGACUAAGUGAAAUAAACUGUAGCAUCUGUGAAGGACCUGGGAGGAUAGUUCUAGCUAAGAUACUAGAAAGUAAUAACGAAAUACUUGUUUUUUCUUUUUAUAUUUUCCUCCAUAAGAAAUUAACUUUUUUUUUCUUUUAGCAAAAAUCUGUGUCUGGAUGGAAGAUUUGCAUUCAGCCACAUGCAAGGAGAUGAUUGCACAGGCAAGUAAAAUAUUUUUAAAUACGGGUUUUUUUCUGCUUUAGAAGAUAAGCAGGUUAAACCAUAUUUUAUGGUUUUUAAUAUGUUUUUUUAAAAAUAUAGACAAAGCUUUUGCCAGUUAGAGAUGGAGAAGCUAACUCGGCCUCAGCUAUUGAGUUAUACUGCAGUAGUUACAGAUCUCUGCAUUGUGCUAAGUUGUACAUGUGCAAAAGGCUGCCUGAACACUUAUUUUAAUUUAGUUCCAUUUAAUUAGGAACAGCCUUAAAAAUCAAAAUACGUGUUUGCAAAGUGAUAUGCAUUAGCUUAAUUAUUAAAGAGCACAGGAAUGUGUAGCCCCUCUGCAGUUACAUAUGUUUCCAGAUGGACUAGAAAGUGGCUAAGUUUUUGCCUGUGAAGGAGAAAUAAGCAUUAAAUCUUACCCACAGUCCUCUUUUUUUUUUUUUUGUGACAUAUAAUAGGCCUGAAUAUGUCUUUCCAUAAAUAAAAUAGGUGCAGAUUUUUAUGGUCUCCCAUGAAAAAUGGAGCUCUUGUCUCACUUGAGUAAGUUUGUGACAUAUGAUGAGCUACCAAAAUUAACAUCCCAUCAAAUGAAAGAUAAGUAAAUAAUAGGAACAGGAGGGAUUUUUUAGCUAAGUGUUAACAAGAAAUGUAAAUAUCUCAAGGUUUUCUUUGUUUAGAGGCAGUCUGUGCACCAUACAUCUCUGCCAAUAAACUGGGGAGAAAAAUGUACUUGAUCCUUCCUAUAUAUCAAAUUUAAUCAGAUGACAGAUAGAUAUUUUCUGUAUAUAUUGACAUCAUGGGUGUAUCAUUUACAGCCUUUGGUAUACUUAGAGCACUGGCUACGCUCUGGAAUUAUUCUGGUUCAGACAGAAGCAUAUUGCUGAACAUUCCUAGUUAUUUUUACCUGGUC